GGAGCAAUCGUUAGAUAGUAAGU
RNAcentral lists this small nucleolar RNA (23 nucleotides) under Leishmania donovani. RNAcentral also lists the same sequence under 1 other name. Lineage: Eukaryota; Euglenozoa; Kinetoplastea; Trypanosomatida; Trypanosomatidae. The record is from RNAcentral.